This 809-nucleotide ribosomal RNA is filed under the name Gammaproteobacteria bacterium GUDS1255. Its description in RNAcentral is "bacterial SSU rRNA". It matches the Rfam family "Bacterial small subunit ribosomal RNA", at positions 65 to 868 of the family's 1533-position model. Lineage: Bacteria; Pseudomonadati; Pseudomonadota; Gammaproteobacteria. The record is from RNAcentral.
AACGGUAACAGGAAGAAGCUUGCUUCUUUGCUGACGAGUGGCGGACGGGUGAGUAAUGCUUAGGGAUCUGCCCAGAGGUGGGGGACAACAGUUGGAAACGACUGCUAAUACCGCAUGAUGCCUACGGGCCAAAGGGGGCUUCGGCUCUCGCCUUUGGAGGAACCUAAGUGAGAUUAGCUAGUUGGUGAGGUAAUGGCUCACCAAGGCGACGAUCUCUAGCUGGUCUGAGAGGAUGAUCAGCCACACUGGAACUGAGACACGGUCCAGACUCCUACGGGAGGCAGCAGUGGGGAAUAUUGCACAAUGGGGGAAACCCUGAUGCAGCCAUGCCGCGUGUGUGAAGAAGGCCUUCGGGUUGUAAAGCACUUUCAGUAGCGAGGAAAAGUUAUUGGUUAAUACCCAAUAGCCUUGACGUUAACUACAGAAGAAGCACCGGCUAACUCCGUGCCAGCAGCCGCGGUAAUACGGAGGGUGCGAGCGUUAAUCGGAAUUACUGGGCGUAAAGCGCAUGCAGGCGGUCUGUUAAGCCAGAUGUGAAAGCCCGGGGCUCAACCCCGGAAUAGCAUUUGGAACUGGCAGACUAGAGUUUUGUAGAGGGGGGUAGAAUUUCAGGUGUAGCGGUGAAAUGCGUAGAGAUCUGAAGGAAUACCAGUGGCGAAGGCGGCCCCCUGGACAAAAACUGACGCUCAGAUGCGAAAGCGUGGGUAGCAAACAGGAUUAGAUACCCUGGUAGUCCACGCCGUAAACGAUGUCAACUAGUUGCUUGUAGCUUUUACGCUGUGGGUGACGGAGCUAACGCAUUAAGUUGA